RNAcentral lists this unclassified non-coding RNA (523 nucleotides) under plant metagenome. RNAcentral's name for it is "partial contains small subunit ribosomal RNA, internal transcribed spacer 1, and 5.8S ribosomal RNA". The stretch from base 475 to 523 matches the Rfam family "5.8S ribosomal RNA", at positions 1 to 49 of the family's 154-position model. The record is from RNAcentral.
UUUCCGUAGGUGAACCUGCGGAAGGAUCAUUAUCGAGCAAAAAAAAGACUCUCGUUAAGUUCACUAAGAGAGCCGCCCUAGGGUCGCUCCACUUAUUUUACGGUCGGCUUCUACCGUAUAUCUAAGUGGGGCCGGUCGUCGGCUUUCCAGCCGUACACGACUGCCCUUGUGGCGCGAGUUAGGGAGACACUAGGCUCCUCGUCGAUACGAGCGCUAGCCCGGAUGCCGUCUCGCCUUACUCACUAUAUAACUAACGGUAUUCUGUUGGCGUCUACGCCCAGGCCUAGAGUUACGGUUGUCUUUCCGUCGACCGUCGUCAUGGCUGGGAGUUAGUUCCCGCCGUCCUCUUAGGGGGACGGAGGUUGAGCAGACUUAAUGAACGCCGGCCGGGGCGUCGCCAGCAACCCACUUUAACGAGGUUACCGAAUUGAUCACCUCUAAUUUAUUGUUUACGCAAUAAGUUGGAAAAAUUACUACUCUAAGCGGUGGAUCACUCGGCUCGUACAUCGAUGAAGAACGCAGC